Molecule: ribosomal RNA, 253 nt
Filed under: uncultured bacterium
Lineage: Bacteria
Description: partial 16S ribosomal RNA
Rfam family: Bacterial small subunit ribosomal RNA
Source: RNAcentral
UACGUAUGGUGCAAGCGUUAUCCGGAUUUACUGGGUGUAAAGAGAGCGCAGGCGGCACGGCAAGCCUGAUGUGAAAGCCCGCGGCCCAACCGCGGGACUGCAUUGGGAACUACCGGGCUGGAGUGCCGGAGAGGUAGGCGGAAUUCCUAGUGUAGCGGUGAAAUGCGUAGAUAUUAGGAGGAACACCAGUGGCGAAGGCGGCCUACUGGACGGUGACUGACGCUGAGGCUCGAAAGCGUGGGGAGCAAACAGG